GGAAGUAAAAGUUGUAACAAGGUUUCCGUAGGUGAACCUGCGGAAGGCUCAUUAUUGUAUAACCGAGGUGCGAGGGCUGUCGCUGACCCGAAAGUUCGUGCACGCCCGAGUGCCCUCACACACAUCCAUCUCACCCCUAUGUGCACCACCGCGUGGGUCCCCCUUUGGCUUGUUCGGAGGGGGGCUUACGUUUUCACACAAACUUUGUAUGCAGUGUAGAAUGUAUUUUUUGUUUUUGCGUUCACGCAAUAAAUACAACUUUCAACAACGGAUCUCUUGGCUCUC
RNAcentral lists this unclassified non-coding RNA (285 nucleotides) under plant metagenome. RNAcentral describes it as "partial contains small subunit ribosomal RNA, internal transcribed spacer 1, and 5.8S ribosomal RNA". The stretch from base 1 to 54 matches the Rfam family "Eukaryotic small subunit ribosomal RNA", at positions 1778 to 1831 of the family's 1831-position model. The record is from RNAcentral.